Molecule: ribosomal RNA, 253 nt
Filed under: uncultured prokaryote
Description: partial 16S ribosomal RNA
Rfam family: Bacterial small subunit ribosomal RNA
Source: RNAcentral
ACGAAGGGUGCAAACGUUGCUCGGAAUUAUUGGGCGUAAAGCGCGCGUAGGCGGCUUGGCAAGUCGGAUGUGAAAUCCCUCGGCUCAACCAAGGAAGUGCAUCCGAAACUGCCGAGCUUGAGUACUUAAGAGGAUCGCGGAAUUCCCGGUGUAGUGGUGAAAUGCGUAGAUAUCGGGAGGAACACCAGUGGCGAAGGCGGCUACCUGGCCCAUUCUUGACGCUGAGGCGCGAAAGCUAGGGGAGCGUACGGGA